GUUGGAUACGGAGACAUGGCACCGAAGACGUUCUACGGCAUGUUUGUUGGUGCUUUGUGUGCCCUAGCUGGUGUACUUACAAUAGCAUUACCCGUUCCGGUUAUUGUCAGCAAC
Regulatory RNA element from Clunio marinus, 114 nucleotides. It matches the Rfam family "Potassium channel RNA editing signal". Rfam says of the family: This family represents a group of sequences related to the human potassium channel Kv1.1 hairpin element which directs the efficient modification of an adenosine to inosine by an adenosine deaminase acting on RNA (ADAR). The ADAR modification causes an isoleucine/valine recoding event which lies in the ion-conducting pore of the potassium channel. It is thought that this editing event targets the process of fast inactivation and allows a more rapid recovery from inactivation at negative potentials. The record is from Rfam. Lineage: Eukaryota; Metazoa; Arthropoda; Insecta; Diptera; Chironomidae.